GUGGGGAAUCUUCCACAAUGGACGAAAGUCUGAUGGAGCAACGCCGCGUGAGUGAAGAAGGGUUUCGGCUCGUAAAGCUCUGUUGUCGGGGACGAAUGUGCAGUAUUUGAAUAAAGUACUGCAAUGACGGUACCUGACGAGGAAGCCACGGCUAACUACGUGCCAGCAGCCGCGGUAAUACGUAGGUGGCAAGCGUUGUCCGGAAUUAUUGGGCGUAAAGGGAGCGCAGGCGGGAAGGUAAGUCGGUCUUAAAAGUGCGGAGCUCAACCCCGUGAUGGGAUCUAAACUAUCUUUCUUGAGUGCAGGAGAGGAAAGUGGAAUUCCUAGUGUAGCGGUGAAAUGCGUAGAUAUUAGGAGGAACACCAGUGGCGAAGGCGACUUUCUGGACUGUAACUGACGCUGAGGCUCGAAAGCCAGGGGAGCGAACGGGAUUAGAAACCAGAGUAGUCC
RNAcentral lists this ribosomal RNA (450 nucleotides) under uncultured bacterium. RNAcentral's name for it is "partial 16S ribosomal RNA". It matches the Rfam family "Bacterial small subunit ribosomal RNA", at positions 354 to 796 of the family's 1533-position model. The record is from RNAcentral.